AUGAACGCUGGCGGCGUGCCUAAUACAUGCAAGUCGAGCGAACAGACGAGGAGCUUGCUCCUCUGACGUUAGCGGCGGACGGGUGAGUAACACGUGGAUAACCUACCUAUAAGACUGGGAUAACUUCGGGAAACCGGAGCUAAUACCGGAUAAUAUAUUGAACCGCAUGGUUCAAUAGUGAAAGACGGUUUUGCUGUCACUUAUAGAUGGAUCCGCGCCGCAUUAGCUAGUUGGUAAGGUAACGGCUUACCAAGGCAACGAUGCGUGGCCGACCUGAGAGGGUGAUCGGCCACACUGGAACUGAGACACGGUCCAGACUCCUACGGGGGGCAGCAGUAGGGAAUCUUCCGCAAUGGGCGAAAGCCUGACGGAGCAACGCCGCGUGAGUGGUGAAGGUCUUCGGAUCGUAAAACUCUGUUAUUAGGGAAGAACAAAUGUGUAAGUAACUAUGCACGUCUUGACGGUACCUAAUCAGAAAGCCACGGCUAACUACGUG
Molecule: ribosomal RNA, 496 nt
Filed under: uncultured bacterium
Lineage: Bacteria
Description: partial 16S ribosomal RNA
Rfam family: Bacterial small subunit ribosomal RNA
Source: RNAcentral